AGUGAACGCUGGCGGUAUGCCUAACACAUGCAAGUCGAACGGCAGCACAGUAAGAGCUUGCUCUUACGGGUGGCGAGUGGCGGACGGGUGAGGAAUACAUCGGAAUCUACUUUUUCGUGGGGGAUAACGUAAGGAAACUUACGCUAAUACCGCAUACGACCUACGGGUGGAAGCAUUGGAUCUUCGGACCUUUCGCGAUUGAAUGAGCCGAUGUCGGAUUAGCUAGUUGGCUGGGUAAAGGCCCACCAAGGCGACGAUCCGUAGCUGGUCUGAGAGGAUGAUCAGCCACACUGGAACUGAGACACGGUCCAGACUCCUACGGGAGGCAGCAGUGGGGAAUCUUGGACAAUGGGCGCAAGCCUGACCCAGCCAUACCGCGUGGGUGAAGAAGGUCUUCGGGUUGUAAAGCCCCUUUGUUGGGAAAGAACAGCAGCAGGUUAAAACCUCGCUGUUCUGACGGUACCCAAAGAAUAAGCAACGGCUAACUUCGUG
Molecule: ribosomal RNA, 492 nt
Filed under: uncultured bacterium
Lineage: Bacteria
Description: partial 16S ribosomal RNA
Rfam family: Bacterial small subunit ribosomal RNA
Source: RNAcentral